This is a ribosomal RNA of 900 nucleotides. It matches the Rfam family "Bacterial small subunit ribosomal RNA", at positions 387 to 1280 of the family's 1533-position model.
UGCAGCCAUGCCGCGUGUGUGAAGAAGGCCUUCGGGUUGUAAAGCACUUUCAGUCAGGAGGAAAGGUUAGUAGUUAAUACCUGCUAGCUGUGACGUUACUGACAGAAGAAGCACCGGCUAACUCCGUGCCAGCAGCCGCGGUAAUACGGAGGGUGCGAGCGUUAAUCGGAAUUACUGGGCGUAAAGCGUACGCAGGCGGUUUGUUAAGCGAGAUGUGAAAGCCCCGGGCUCAACCUGGGAACUGCAUUUCGAACUGGCAAACUAGAGUGUGAUAGAGGGUGGUAGAAUUUCAGGUGUAGCGGUGAAAUGCGUAGAGAUCUGAAGGAAUACCGAUGGCGAAGGCAGCCACCUGGGUCAACACUGACGCUCAUGUACGAAAGCGUGGGGAGCAAACGGGAUUAGAUACCCCGGUAGUCCACGCCGUAAACGAUGUCUACUAGAAGCUCGGAGCCUCGGUUCUGUUUUUCAAAGCUAACGCAUUAAGUAGACCGCCUGGGGAGUACGGCCGCAAGGUUAAAACUCAAAUGAAUUGACGGGGGCCCGCACAAGCGGUGGAGCAUGUGGUUUAAUUCGAUGCAACGCGAAGAACCUUACCUACACUUGACAUACAGAGAACUUACCAGAGAUGGUUUGGUGCCUUCGGGAACUCUGAUACAGGUGCUGCAUGGCUGUCGUCAGCUCGUGUUGUGAGAUGUUGGGUUAAGUCCCGCAACGAGCGCAACCCCUAUCCUUAGUUGCUAGCAGGUAAUGCUGAGAACUCUAAGGAGACUGCCGGUGAUAAACCGGAGGAAGGUGGGGACGACGUCAAGUCAUCAUGGCCCUUACGUGUAGGGCUACACACGUGCUACAAUGGCGCAUACAGAGUGCUGCGAACUCGCGAGAGUAAGCGAAUCACUUAAA